GGCCAAGUGUGUCGAAGUAAAACUUAUUAAUAUGUGCAGUUUUUGGAAGUUUCAUUAUACAUUGAAACAUUGAAACAUACAUUACGGUAUAUUGAAGAAGAUGUCGAGAUUGUUAUGGACAUAUAUGUAUGAGUUUGGUUAAACAUGUUUUGCUAUCGCUCAACCAUUCCUAUAACCUUUCUUUAGUAGUGCACCAGCACAACAUAUUGUAAAAAUA
Molecule: long non-coding RNA, 217 nt
Filed under: Mytilus galloprovincialis (Mediterranean mussel)
Lineage: Eukaryota; Metazoa; Mollusca; Bivalvia; Mytilida; Mytilidae
Source: RNAcentral